CAGUAUCUCAGAAAAUAACUGUGUUUGGACAUAACAUCUAAACAUCUUUAGCAUGCAUGUGUGUAUCUAUAUGUAAUUAAAAUUAGGUCAUUAGGGUGGGCUUUAAUCCAAUAUGACUGGUGUCCUUACAAAAAUAGAAAUUUGAACACAGCCACAUACAGGAGGAAUAUGAUGUGAAGACAAAGGGAGAAGACAGCCAUCUAUAAGCUAAGGACAUGGACCUGGAACACAUCCUUCCCUCCCAGCCCUCAGACAGAACCAACUCUGUAGAUCAACCAACACCUUGACUUUCAGCCUCCAGAACUGCGAUAAGGAAAAAGAUUGACAAAAGAAACUAUAAGCAAGCAUGCUGUUUUGAGUCGCCGGAGGAUAGAGACGGCCCAAGAAGAAUUUCAAGAGAACUGCUAAUGAGAAACCUUCCGUGGUGAGACUUGAACUGACAAGCUAUUCCCCCAGGCUCCUCGGGAACAUCUCAUAACUAAUCGGGACAUUCCAUCAAGACCACAUGCACAGGGCCACAGCCUAGACAGCAGAGCAUCCAAACCGCCAAAGAAAAUGUUGAGGCUGCACCAAUAAGGGACUUUGUGCAAUGCCUCUUUUAUUGAAAAAAUCUAUUUAAAUGAAAUCUUUCUAGGACAUUAUGUCAAAACUGCAACUGGAAACGUCUGCUUUUCUCACCUGGAAGAAUUGCCCCUAUUAAACCAUAGUAACUAUAAACAGUAAUUAUGUAUAGCUGUGCAUAAGCAUGCAAGUGUGUAUCUAUAG
RNAcentral lists this long non-coding RNA (765 nucleotides) under Homo sapiens (human). RNAcentral's name for it is "HSALNT0191111". The record is from RNAcentral. Lineage: Eukaryota; Metazoa; Chordata; Mammalia; Primates; Hominidae.